GGGUUGUGAGGUUAAGCGACUAAGCGUACACGGUGGAUGCCCUGGCAGUCAGAGGCGAUGAAGGACGUGCUAAUCUGCGAAAAGCGUCGGUAAGGUGAUAUGAACCGUUAUAACCGGCGAUGUCCGAAUGGGGAAACCCAGUGCAAUUCGUUGCACUAUCGUUAACUGAAUACAUAGGUUAACGAGGCGAACCGGGGGAACUGAAACAUCUAAGUACCCCGAGGAAAAGAAAUCAACCGAGAUUCCCCCAGUAGCGGCGAGCGAACGGGGAGCAGCCCAGAGUCUGAAUCAGCUUGUGUGUUAGUGGAACGGUCUGGAAAGUCCGACGGUACAGGGUGAUAGUCCCGUACACCAAAAUGCACAGGCUGUGAACUCGAAGAGUAGGGCGGGACACGUGGUAUCCUGUCUGAAUAUGGGGGGACCAUCCUCCAAGGCUAAAUACUCCUGACUGACCGAUAGUGAACCAGUACCGUGAGGGAAAGGCGAAAAGAACCCCGGCGAGGGGAGUGAAAAAGAACCUGAAACCGUGUACGUACAAGCAGUGGGAGCACCUUCGGGUGUGACUGCGUACCUUUUGUAUAAUGGGUCAGCGACUUAUAUUCUGUAGCAAGGUUAACCGUAUAGGGGAGCCGCAGGGAAACCGAGUCUUAACUGGGCGUUAAGUUGCAGGGUAUAGACCCGAAACCCGGUGAUCUAGCCAUGGGCAGGUUGAAGGUUGGGUAACACUAACUGGAGGACCGAACCGACUAAUGUUGAAAAAUUAGCGGAUGACUUGUGGCUGGGGGUGAAAGGCCAAUCAAACCGGGAGAUAGCUGGUUCUCCCCGAAAGCUAUUUAGGUAGCGCCUCGUGAAUUCAUCUUCGGGGGUAGAGCACUGUUUCGGCUAGGGGGUCAUCCCGACUUACCAACCCGAUGCAAACUACGAAUACCGAAGAAUGUUAUCACGGGAGACACACGGCGGGUGCUAACGUCCGUCGUGAAGAGGGAAACAACCCAGACCGCCAGCUAAGGUCCCAAAGUCAUGGUUAAGUGGGAAACGAUGUGGGAAGGCACAGACAGCCAGGAUGUUGGCUUAGAAGCAGCCAUCAUUUAAAGAAAGCGUAAUAGCUCACUGGUCGAGUCGGCCUGCGCGGAAGAUGUAACGGGGCUAAACCAUGCACCGAAGCUGCGGCAGCGACACUAUGUGUUGUUGGGUAGGGGAGCGUUCUGUAAGCCUGCGAAGGUGACCUGUGAGGGUUGCUGGAGGUAUCAGAAGUGCGAAUGCUGACAUAAGUAACGAUAAAGCGGGUGAAAAGCCCGCUCGCCGGAAGACCAAGGGUUCCUGUCCAACGUUAAUCGGGGCAGGGUGAGUCGACCCCUAAGGCGAGGCCGAAAGGCGUAGUCGAUGGGAAACAGGUUAAUAUUCCUGUACUUGGUGUUACUGCGAAGGGGGGACGGAGAAGGCUAUGUUAGCCGGGCGACGGUUGUCCCGGUUUAAGCAUGUAGGCUGGUUAUCCAGGCAAAUCCGGAUAAUCAAGGCUGAGGUGUGAUGACGAGGCACUACGGUGCUGAAGUAACAAAUGCCCUGCUUCCAGGAAAAGCCUCUAAGCAUCAGGUAACAUCAAAUCGUACCCCAAACCGACACAGGUGGUCAGGUAGAGAAUACCAAGGCGCUUGAGAGAACUCGGGUGAAGGAACUAGGCAAAAUGGUGCCGUAACUUCGGGAGAAGGCACGCUGGUGUGUAGGUGAAGCCCCUGCGGGUGGAGCUGAGACCAGUCGAAGAUACCAGCUGGCUGCAACUGUUUAUUAAAAACACAGCACUGUGCAAACACGAAAGUGGACGUAUACGGUGUGACGCCUGCCCGGUGCCGGAAGGUUAAUUGAUGGGGUUAUCCGUAAGGAGAAGCUCUUGAUCGAAGCCCCGGUAAACGGCGGCCGUAACUAUAACGGUCCUAAGGUAGCGAAAUUCCUUGUCGGGUAAGUUCCGACCUGCACGAAUGGCGUAAUGAUGGCCAGGCUGUCUCCACCCGAGACUCAGUGAAAUUGAACUCGCUGUGAAGAUGCAGUGUACCCGCGGCAAGACGGAAAGACCCCGUGAACCUUUACUAUAGCUUGACACUGAACAUUGAGCCUUGAUGUGUAGGAUAGGUGGGAGGCUUUGAAGCGUGGACGCCAGUCUGCGUGGAGCCAACCUUGAAAUACCACCCUUUAAUGUUUGAUGUUCUAACGUUGGCCCCUUACCGGGGUUGCGGACAGUGUCUGGUGGGUAGUUUGACUGGGGCGGUCUCCUCCCAAAGCGUAACGGAGGAGCACGAAGGUUAGCUAAUCCUGGUCGGACAUCAGGAGGUUAGUGCAAUGGCAUAAGCUAGCUUGACUGCGAGCGUGACGGCGCGAGCAGGUGCGAAAGCAGGUCAUAGUGAUCCGGUGGUUCUGAAUGGAAGGGCCAUCGCUCAACGGAUAAAAGGUACUCCGGGGAUAACAGGCUGAUACCGCCCAAGAGUUCAUAUCGACGGCGGUGUUUGGCACCUCGAUGUCGGCUCAUCACAUCCUGGGGCUGAAGUAGGUCCCAAGGGUAUGGCUGUUCGCCAUUUAAAGUGGUACGCGAGCUGGGUUUAGAACGUCGUGAGACAGUUCGGUCCCUAUCUGCCGUGGGCGCUGGAGAAUUGAGGGGGGCUGCUCCUAGUACGAGAGGACCGGAGUGGACGCAUCACUGGUGUUCGGGUUGUCAUGCCAAUGGCACUGCCCGGUAGCUAAAUGCGGAAGAGAUAAGUGCUGAAAGCAUCUAAGCACGAAACUUGCCCCGAGAUGAGUUCUCCCUGAGACUUUAAGUCUCCUGAAGGAACGUUAAAGACGAUGACGUUGAUAGGCCGGGUGUGUAAGCGCAGCGAUGCGUUGAGCUAACCGGUACUAAUGAACCGUGAGGCUUAACCUUACAACGCCGAAG
Molecule: ribosomal RNA, 2923 nt
Filed under: Klebsiella pneumoniae
Lineage: Bacteria; Pseudomonadati; Pseudomonadota; Gammaproteobacteria; Enterobacterales; Enterobacteriaceae
Description: bacterial LSU rRNA
Rfam family: Bacterial large subunit ribosomal RNA
Source: RNAcentral